RNAcentral lists this ribosomal RNA (259 nucleotides) under uncultured bacterium. RNAcentral's name for it is "partial 16S ribosomal RNA". It matches the Rfam family "Bacterial small subunit ribosomal RNA", at positions 96 to 354 of the family's 1533-position model. The record is from RNAcentral.
UGGCGGACGGGUGAGUAACACGUAGAGAACCUACCUUACACAGGGGGACAACGGCUGGAAACGGCUGCUAAUACCGCAUAAGCACCCAGUUUCGCAUGAAACAGAGUGAAAAGAGUAAAUCGGUGUAAGAUGGCUCUGCGUCUGAUUAGCUGGUUGGCGGGGUAAAGGCCCACCAAGGCGACGAUCAGUAGCCGGCCUGAGAGGGUGAACGGCCACAUUGGGACUGAGACACGGCCCAAACUCCUACGGGAGGCAGCAG